Molecule: ribosomal RNA, 292 nt
Filed under: uncultured bacterium
Lineage: Bacteria
Description: partial 16S ribosomal RNA
Rfam family: Bacterial small subunit ribosomal RNA
Source: RNAcentral
GUGCCAGCAGCCGCGGUAAUACGUAGGGUGCGAGCGUUAAUCGGAAUUACUGGGCGUAAAGCGUGCGCAGGCGGUUUCUUAAGCCAGAUGUGAAAUCCCCGGGCUUAACCUGGGAACUGCAUUUGGAACUGGGAGACUAGAGUGCGUCAGAGGGGGGUGGAAUUCCACGUGUAGCAGUGAAAUGCGUAGAGAUGUGGAGGAACACCGAUGGCGAAGGCAGCCCCCUGGGAUGACACUGACGCUCAUGCACGAAAGCGUGGGGAGCAAACAGGAUUAGAUACCCUGGUAGUCC